UGAGCAACCUGCCCUUGACUCUGGAAUAACAGUUGGAAACAGCUGCUAAUACCGGAUAUGACCUCUGACGUCAUCGUCUGGAGGUGGAAAGCUCCGGCGGUCAAGGAUGGGCUCGCGGCCUAUCAGCUUGUUGGUGAGGUAACGGCUCACCAAGGCUUCGACGGGUAGCCGGCCUGAGAGGGCGACCGGCCACACUGGGACUGAGAUACGGCCCAGACUCCCUAGGGACGG
This 231-nucleotide ribosomal RNA is filed under the name uncultured bacterium. RNAcentral's name for it is "partial 16S ribosomal RNA". It matches the Rfam family "Bacterial small subunit ribosomal RNA", at positions 118 to 348 of the family's 1533-position model. The record is from RNAcentral.